RNAcentral lists this small nucleolar RNA (80 nucleotides) under Genlisea aurea. RNAcentral describes it as "Small nucleolar RNA J33". It matches the Rfam family "Small nucleolar RNA J33". From Rfam's summary of the family: J33 is a member of the C/D class of snoRNA which contain the C (UGAUGA) and D (CUGA) box motifs. Most of the members of the box C/D family function in directing site-specific 2'-O-methylation of substrate RNAs. The record is from Rfam by way of RNAcentral. Lineage: Eukaryota; Viridiplantae; Streptophyta; Magnoliopsida; Lamiales; Lentibulariaceae.
CAGUGAGGGGAAUGAUGUACUACUACCGUGCUCUCGAGAUGCUUACGUUUCUGGACUCCGCUUCUGAAAUGGACAUGCGG